CUGCCGCCGCCAGGAGAGUGUGGAGCCCGCGAAGCUGCGGGCAGCCACCGCCGAAGGCGCAGGGCGCAAGCCCGAACGCUCAGGCACAAGGACUGGCAAGCGCUU
This 105-nucleotide non-coding RNA is filed under the name Burkholderiales bacterium JOSHI_001. RNAcentral describes it as "Glycine riboswitch aptamer". It matches the Rfam family "Glycine riboswitch aptamer". From Rfam's summary of the family: This family represents the bacterial glycine riboswitch. Glycine riboswitches usually consist of two metabolite-binding aptamers domains with similar structures in tandem. The record is from Rfam by way of RNAcentral. Lineage: Bacteria; Pseudomonadati; Pseudomonadota; Betaproteobacteria; Burkholderiales. RNAcentral also lists the same sequence under 1 other name.